This 622-nucleotide ribosomal RNA is filed under the name uncultured bacterium. RNAcentral's name for it is "bacterial SSU rRNA". It matches the Rfam family "Bacterial small subunit ribosomal RNA", at positions 338 to 953 of the family's 1533-position model. The record is from RNAcentral.
CCUACGGGAGGCAGCAGUGGGGAAUUUUGGACAAUGGGCGCAAGCCUGAUCCAGCAAUGCCGCGUGAGUGAAGAAGGCCUUCGGGUUGUAAAGCUCUUUUGUCAGGGAAGAAACGGUCUACUCUAAUACAGUGGGCUAAUGACGGUACCUGAAGAAUAAGCACCGGCUAACUACGUGCCAGCAGCCGCGGUAAUACGUAGGGUGCAAGCGUUAAUCGGAAUUACUGGGCGUAAAGCGUGCGCAGGCGGUUAUAUAAGUCAGAUGUGAAAUCCCCGGGCUCAACCUGGGAACUGCAUUUGAGACUGUAUGGCUAGAGUGUGUCAGAGGGGGGUAGAAUUCCACGUGUAGCAGUGAAAUGCGUAGAUAUGUGGAGGAAUACCGAUGGCGAAGGCAGCCCCCUGGGAUAACACUGACGCUCAUGCACGAAAGCGUGGGGAGCAAACAGGAUUAGAUACCCUGGUAGUCCACGCCCUAAACGAUGUCUACUAGUUGUCGGGACUUAAUUGUCUUGGUAACGCAGCUAACGCGUGAAGUAGACCGCCUGGGGAGUACGGUCGCAAGAUUAAAACUCAAAAGUGAAUUGACGGNGAGAGAGAGACGACGGACGACGACGGAGGAGGAG